This 1310-nucleotide ribosomal RNA is filed under the name Escherichia coli. Its description in RNAcentral is "partial 23S ribosomal RNA". It matches the Rfam family "Bacterial large subunit ribosomal RNA", at positions 432 to 1744 of the family's 2925-position model. Lineage: Bacteria; Pseudomonadati; Pseudomonadota; Gammaproteobacteria; Enterobacterales; Enterobacteriaceae. The record is from RNAcentral.
UCCUGUCUGAAUAUGGGGGGACCAUCCUCCAAGGCUAAAUACUCCUGACUGACCGAUAGUGAACCAGUACCGUGAGGGAAAGGCGAAAAGAACCCCGGCGAGGGGAGUGAAAAAGAACCUGAAACCGUGUACGUACAAGCAGUGGGAGCACGCUUAGGCGUGUGACUGCGUACCUUUUGUAUAAUGGGUCAGCGACUUAUAUUCUGUAGCAAGGUUAACCGAAUAGGGGAGCCGAAGGGAAACCGAGUCUUAACUGGGCGUUAAGUUGCAGGGUAUAGACCCGAAACCCGGUGAUCUAGCCAUGGGCAGGUUGAAGGUUGGGUAACACUAACUGGAGGACCGAACCGACUAAUGUUGAAAAAUUAGCGGAUGACUUGUGGCUGGGGGUGAAAGGCCAAUCAAACCGGGAGAUAGCUGGUUCUCCCCGAAAGCUAUUUAGGUAGCGCCUCGUGAAUUCAUCUCCGGGGGUAGAGCACUGUUUCGGCAAGGGGGUCAUCCCGACUUACCAACCCGAUGCAAACUGCGAAUACCGGAGAAUGUUAUCACGGGAGACACACGGCGGGUGCUAACGUCCGUCGUGAAGAGGGAAACAACCCAGACCGCCAGCUAAGGUCCCAAAGUCAUGGUUAAGUGGGAAACGAUGUGGGAAGGCCCAGACAGCCAGGAUGUUGGCUUAGAAGCAGCCAUCAUUUAAAGAAAGCGUAAUAGCUCACUGGUCGAGUCGGCCUGCGCGGAAGAUGUAACGGGGCUAAACCAUGCACCGAAGCUGCGGCAGCGACGCUUAUGCGUUGUUGGGUAGGGGAGCGUUCUGUAAGCCUGCGAAGGUGUGCUGUGAGGCAUGCUGGAGGUAUCAGAAGUGCGAAUGCUGACAUAAGUAACGAUAAAGCGGGUGAAAAGCCCGCUCGCCGGAAGACCAAGGGUUCCUGUCCAACGUUAAUCGGGGCAGGGUGAGUCGACCCCUAAGGCGAGGCCGAAAGGCGUAGUCGAUGGGAAACAGGUUAAUAUUCCUGUACUUGGUGUUACUGCGAAGGGGGGACGGAGAAGGCUAUGUUGGCCGGGCGACGGUUGUCCCGGUUUAAGCGUGUAGGCUGGUUUUCCAGGCAAAUCCGGAAAAUCAAGGCUGAGGCGUGAUGACGAGGCACUACGGUGCUGAAGCAACAAAUGCCCUGCUUCCAGGAAAAGCCUCUAAGCAUCAGGUAACAUCAAAUCGUACCCCAAACCGACACAGGUGGUCAGGUAGAGAAUACCAAGGCGCUUGAGAGAACUCGGGUGAAGGAACUAGGCAAAAUGGUGCCGUAACUUCGGGAGAA